RNAcentral lists this ribosomal RNA (492 nucleotides) under uncultured bacterium. RNAcentral's name for it is "partial 16S ribosomal RNA". It matches the Rfam family "Bacterial small subunit ribosomal RNA", at positions 29 to 507 of the family's 1533-position model. The record is from RNAcentral.
AGUGAACGCUGGCGGUAGGCCUAACACAUGCAAGUCGAACGGCAGCACAGUAAGAGCUUGCUCUUACGGGUGGCGAGUGGCGGACGGGUGAGGAAUACAUCGGAAUCUACUUUUUCGUGGGGGAUAACGUAGGGAAACUUACGCUAAUACCGCAUACGACCUACGGGUGAAAGCAGGGGAUCUUCGGACCUUGCGCGAUUGAAUGAGCCGAUGUCGGAUUAGCUAGUUGGCGGGGUAAAGGCCCACCAAGGCGACGAUCCGUAGCUGGCUUGAGAGGAUGACCAGCCACACUGGAACUGAGACACGGUCCAGACUCCUACGGGAGGCAGCAGUGGGGAAUAUUGGACAAUGGGCGCAAGCCUGAUCCAGCCAUACCGCGUGGGUGAAGAAGGCCUUCGGGUUGUAAAGCCCUUUUGUUGGGAAAGAAAAGCAGCAGGUUAAUACCCCGCUGUUCUGACGGUACCCAAAGAAUAAGCACCGGCUAACUUCGUG